AACGAACGCUGGCGGCAUGCCUAACACAUGCAAGUCGAACGAUCCCUUCGGGGAUCGUGGCGCACGGGUGCGUAACGCGUUGGAACCUGCCCUUAGGUUCGGAAUAACUCAGAGACAUUUGAGCUAAUACCGGAUAAUGUCUUCGGACCAAAGAUUUAUCGCCUUUGGAUGGGCCCGCGUUGGAUUAGCUAGGUGGUGGGGUAAAGGCCUACCAAGGCGACGAUCCAUAGCUGGUCUGAGAGGAUGAUCAGCCACACUGGGACUGAGACACGGCCCAGACGCGUACGGGAGGCAGCAGUGGGGAAUAGUGGAAAAUGGGCGAAAGCCUGAUCCAGCAAUGCCGCGUGAGUGAUGAAGGCCUGAGGGUUGUAAAGCUCGUUUACCCGGGAUGAUAAUGACAGUACCGGGAGAAUAAGCCCCGGCUAACUCCGUG
RNAcentral lists this ribosomal RNA (433 nucleotides) under uncultured bacterium. RNAcentral describes it as "partial 16S ribosomal RNA". It matches the Rfam family "Bacterial small subunit ribosomal RNA", at positions 29 to 507 of the family's 1533-position model. The record is from RNAcentral.